RNAcentral lists this ribosomal RNA (2764 nucleotides) under Yersinia enterocolitica. RNAcentral's name for it is "partial 23S ribosomal RNA". It matches the Rfam family "Bacterial large subunit ribosomal RNA". The record is from RNAcentral. Lineage: Bacteria; Pseudomonadati; Pseudomonadota; Gammaproteobacteria; Enterobacterales; Yersiniaceae.
AGUGCAAUUCGUUGCACUAUUGCAUGGUGAAUACAUAGCCAUGCAAGGCGAACCGGGGGAACUGAAACAUCUAAGUACCCCGAGGAAAAGAAAUCAACCGAGAUUCCCCCAGUAGCGGCGAGCGAACGGGGAGGAGCCCAGAACCUGAAUCAGCGUAUGUGUUAGUGGAAGCGUCUGGAAAGUCGCACGGUACAGGGUGAUAGUCCCGUACACAAAAAUGCAUAUGUUGUGAGUUCGAUGAGUAGGGCGGGACACGUGACAUCCUGUCUGAAUAUGGGGGGACCAUCCUCCAAGGCUAAAUACUCCUGACUGACCGAUAGUGAACCAGUACCGUGAGGGAAAGGCGAAAAGAACCCCGGCGAGGGGAGUGAAAUAGAACCUGAAACCGUGUACGUACAAGCAGUGGGAGCACCUUCGUGGUGUGACUGCGUACCUUUUGUAUAAUGGGUCAGCGACUUAUAUUUUGUAGCAAGGUUAACCGAAUAGGGGAGCCGUAGGGAAACCGAGUCUUAACUGGGCGAAUAGUUGCAAGGUAUAGACCCGAAACCCGGUGAUCUAGCCAUGGGCAGGUUGAAGGUUGGGUAACACUAACUGGAGGACCGAACCGACUAAUGUUGAAAAAUUAGCGGAUGACUUGUGGCUGGGGGUGAAAGGCCAAUCAAACCGGGAGAUAGCUGGUUCUCCCCGAAAGCUAUUUAGGUAGCGCCUCGUGAACUCAUCUUCGGGGGUAGAGCACUGUUUCGGCUAGGGGGUCAUCCCGACUUACCAAACCGAUGCAAACUCCGAAUACCGAAGAAUGUUAUCACGGGAGACACACGGCGGGUGCUAACGUCCGUCGUGAAGAGGGAAACAACCCAGACCGCCAGCUAAGGUCCCAAAGUCAUGGUUAAGUGGGAAACGAUGUGGGAAGGCAUAGACAGCCAGGAUGUUGGCUUAGAAGCAGCCAUCAUUUAAAGAAAGCGUAAUAGCUCACUGGUCGAGUCGGCCUGCGCGGAAGAUGUAACGGGGCUAAACCAUGCACCGAAGCUGCGGCAGCGACGCUUAGGCGUUGUUGGGUAGGGGAGCGUUCUGUAAGCCGUUGAAGGUGACCUGUGAGGGUUGCUGGAGGUAUCAGAAGUGCGAAUGCUGACAUAAGUAACGAUAAUGCGGGUGAAAAACCCGCACGCCGGAAGACCAAGGGUUCCUGUCCAACGUUAAUCGGGGCAGGGUGAGUCGACCCCUAAGGCGAGGCUGAAAAGCGUAGUCGAUGGGAAACAGGUUAAUAUUCCUGUACUUGGUGUUACUGCGAAGGGGGGACGGAGAAGGCUAGGCUAGCCGGGCGACGGUUGUCCCGGUUUAAGCAUGUAGGCGGAGUGACUUGGUAAAUCCGGUUGCUUAUCAACGCUGAGGUGUGAUGACGAGCCACUACGGUGGUGAAGUAGUUGAUGCCAAGCUUCCAGGAAAAGCCUCUAAGCAUCAGGUAACAUUAAAUCGUACCCCAAACCGACACAGGUGGUCAGGUAGAGAAUACUCAGGCGCUUGAGAGAACUCGGGUGAAGGAACUAGGCAAAAUGGUGCCGUAACUUCGGGAGAAGGCACGCUGGCAUUAGGUAAAGAGACUUGCUCUCGGCGCCGAAGCCAGUCGCAGAUACCAGCUGGCUGCAACUGUUUAAUAAAAACACAGCACUGUGCAAACACGAAAGUGGACGUAUACGGUGUGACGCCUGCCCGGUGCUGGAAGGUUAAUUGAUGGGGUCAGCCGCAAGGCGAAGCUCUUGAUCGAAGCCCCAGUAAACGGCGGCCGUAACUAUAACGGUCCUAAGGUAGCGAAAUUCCUUGUCGGGUAAGUUCCGACCUGCACGAAUGGCGUAAUGAUGGCCAGGCUGUCUCCACCCGAGACUCAGUGAAAUUGAACUCGCUGUGAAGAUGCAGUGUACCCGCGGCAAGACGGAAAGACCCCGUGAACCUUUACUAUAGCUUGACACUGAACAUUGAGCCUUGAUGUGUAGGAUAGGUGGGAGGCAUUGAAGUGUGGACGCCAGUCUGCAUGGAGCCAACCUUGAAAUACCACCCUUUAAUGUUUGAUGUUCUAACUCGGCCCCGUGAUCCGGGGUGAGGACAGUGUCUGGUGGGUAGUUUGACUGGGGCGGUCUCCUCCCAAAGAGUAACGGAGGAGCACGAAGGUUAGCUAAUCACGGUCGGACAUCGUGAGGUUAGUGCAAAGGCAUAAGCUAGCUUGACUGCGAGAGUGACGGCUCGAGCAGGUACGAAAGUAGGUCUUAGUGAUCCGGUGGUUCUGAAUGGAAGGGCCAUCGCUCAACGGAUAAAAGGUACUCCGGGGAUAACAGGCUGAUACCGCCCAAGAGUUCAUAUCGACGGCGGUGUUUGGCACCUCGAUGUCGGCUCAUCACAUCCUGGGGCUGAAGUAGGUCCCAAGGGUAUGGCUGUUCGCCAUUUAAAGUGGUACGCGAGCUGGGUUUAGAACGUCGUGAGACAGUUCGGUCCCUAUCUGCCGUGGGCGUUGGAAGAUUGAGAGGGGCUGCUCCUAGUACGAGAGGACCGGAGUGGACGAAUCACUGGUGUUCGGGUUGUCAUGCCAAUGGCAUUGCCCGGUAGCUAAAUUCGGAAGAGAUAACCGCUGAAAGCAUCUAAGCGGGAAACUUGCCUCGAGAUGAGUCUUCCCUGGGGCUUUAAGCCCCCUGAAGGAACGUUAAAGACUAUGACGUUGAUAGGCUGGGUGUGUAAGUGCAGCGAUGCAUUGAGCUAACCAGUACUAAUGAUCCGU